GAAUGAACCGUUCACGAAUCGGACGUUACUUGACACUUGCUGAGAUUAACCUUUAUAUAGGCACAUUUUAUAUUAGCUACUCCUGUCGCUGACAAACUUUGACUGAAUGAUUCAUGAGCGAACGAGUCGGUGAGCCAGUCUCAGUCCUAAGAUCAUGAGAGGAUAACAACUUAAUUAUUGCAGUCUCUUAAUUGUAUUUAACUAUAAAACAUACCUGCAUUAAAAUACAAAUGUACGUAAUUUUUGCCCACCCUAGCCUACUCACGUGGCUUUAUUAGGCGUUGCUGGCGUUGAACGAGGGAGAACAGGACGCUCGCGGAAGUGUGUGGUGGUUUACCGGGCGUCACGGCACCAGUGUGCCACAUCCUACACUGAUUUAAAUGCCCUCAAACUGUUACUCCGGUGCUAUCUUCAUCUGGCCCUUAUUUGUCCUGUAAGCUGAGAGUUCACUCCUCCUUGGCCAUGUGUUACCUGGCAGGAGUUUGGUUUCACUGAGUGUUGUGGUGAAUGGGUGGGUCUCUUUUCUGUCUCAAUGCAUUCAUCUGUUCUAAAGCCAUCUCUGUCACCAUCUUUUCCUCGUUUGAACACAGAGCUUCAGCAUGUCUGUUUCUGCCAGUGAUGAUGGUGGUGUGUCUCGCCAUCUGAUUGCAUGUGCCGAUAUAAUAUGCAAAUAUGGUAGAUGUGUGCUGGUGGACGGGAAGCCCACCUGUGAGUGUAAGCUGGGCUACAUUGGAGACACCUGUAACGAAACAAUCAAUGAUGCUCUGUCUGUGCCGCUCACCCUCGGCGUCCUGGCUUUCAUCAUUGGCUUUAUCAUCCUGCUCUUUGGGAUGGCUUUUUUCCAGCAAAGGCAAAAGGCGAAGAAGAGAAAAAAGGCAGCUGAAGAAGCCCUGUUAAGAAAUGGAGCACAUCUUUAACAUGUUUUAAUGCAGCGUGCCAUAAAAUAGUACCAUCAACACAUGAACAUAAACUUUCCACCAUGACACUUAAAUGUGCAUGAAUAGCCUAGAUAUAUUCAUCUCAUGUUAUACUGGUGUGCAUAUGUAGGUAUUGAAUAUUGACUGAAUGCACUCAGCAUUAUCUGAAAACUUUUGUAUAUGAAAUACGUGAAGUCCGCAGCACAUUUGAAUGAUUCUAGAGCAUGACUUGGGUUGGUGUACCUGCAGGAGAGAUACAUGCAAAUCACGUUAAACAUGCAUUGACUGGUUCCUGAAACAUGCCAGGUAUUUCAGAGCUGUUUUUCCGCUGUUAUAUUUAGCUCAGUCCUGACUGGUGAGUUUGAAUAACUGAAAGCUGACUAGUUUCAUGGACUGAUAAGCCACAGACAAGUAUCUUUUCCAAGCAUUUAUGGAAAACAGUCAUGCCAUUUUUUUUAUGGGUUUUGGUUGUGUUUACGUUUACUUGUGGAGUUUCACAACAACUCUGCAUUCAACCUUUUUUUAUUUAGUUUAGUAGAGGUCUCAUUCAACUGUCU
This is a long non-coding RNA of Sinocyclocheilus grahami, 1474 nucleotides long. Ensembl annotates it as meprin A subunit beta-like. The record is from Ensembl. NCBI's taxonomy places the organism in Eukaryota, Metazoa, Chordata, Actinopteri, Cypriniformes, Cyprinidae.